UCAGGUAUGUAUGCAACUUAAUGUUAUAAUUUUAACUAAAUGAAGAGACGCUUAAGAAAUUGCUUCAUAUGAGCGGUAUGUGAAUUACACGUAUCUGGCUACAAAUUCUCUGUUCUAAACAAUGCAUUUGUUGUUCAUCGAGGUCUGAAAACCCCCUCCUCUUUCCAUAAAGAUAAAGAAGUGGAUCAAGAAAAGAACAGACAGUUGUUCAGACAAUUCAAGUUUGAACUGAAAGAAAAAUAUCCCGACUCUUCUAGAAAAUGUUACUGAAUGGGAAGCGGUGUUGUUAUAAACAUAAUACAAACAUACUCUGCGGAAAAUUAUAUUCCAUUUGCGGACUGGUGAAAAUCUAAGAUGCGAGUCGUUGUUGUUGUGUUUGGGUCAACAGACCGAAGGUGCAUGGAUUUUCACUGAAGUUCUUAACUGUACUUAAUAUCGUUUAUUUUUACGUUUUUCCUAUUCUAAGUAAUAGGAAAUGAAUCUUGUAAUUUUCCUCGUAAGAUGGUGAGUGUGAAGUGUUGUUCUACAUGCUUCAAAGUUAUUAUGUCUAAAUAUUUAAGUACGACAGUGUUUAUAGAAACAAACUCUUUUCAUUUAUUCACUUACUUUCUCAUUUGCCGACAAACUGUUGUUUUUAGAAUACUUAUCAAAGGCGCACCCAUUUAUUCUACCUCUUUCUGCUGUAAGUUUAGAAAAAGAAUAUAAAGUUUCACCUAUGAAGGUGGUCAUAUCAAGAAAAAAAGAAAAUUCCAUAUCAUGUUCAUAUAUUAAAGUACAAAUAAUCAAAAAAUUUAACUCAAUUUGGUAAAAUAAACAGUGAGUAUUUCUGUGAAUAGAUGCUUUUUAAGAAAUUUGUAUAAAUACAUGUCUUUUACUGUAAUUGAAGCGUUAUUAGUGUUUAAAAAGUUAUUGUAUUUUUAUUGCCGUAGUAAUUUUUAUUGCCGUAUUUUUUUGUAAUGUCAAAGAAAUAUUCUGUUACUUUCUCACAGUCCGUUCGUUAUCUGUAACCUUGCUAUUAUGCGUUAUUAUUUUAUUAUUUAUUUAUUGUUUAUUAGGUAUUAUUUAUUUUAUGUAUUUAAUAUGUAUUAUUUAUUUUAUAAUUCUGUGCAUUAAUUGUGAAUUUUAAAUUUACGUUAAUCUGUGCUAUAGUUACUUUUUUUUCCUGCUGAUUACAAGCGUCACUCUGAAAUUUUUGAGAUACAGAUAAAAGCUAAACAUACCAAAGUUAAACUUAAUUACAAAAAUUGCAUAAGUAAAGCUUAAUAAAUCUUAGGAGCGUUCAAAGUCCUGCUAUCCAACGUCAAUGCAUCUUUGCAGGCGGUUAUUUAUAAAAUUAAAUGGCAUAAACUAUAAUAGAAAGUCAUACAUUUCAUGGAAAUUAUGAAAAAUAUGCUUUUAUAGCCUCAUCUCACCUUCGGAAUGAAAUCGAUAACCAAAAUAAAAAAAAAAAAGCAAGAUCAGCAUAAUAGGAUUUAUGCUCUAUCUCUUUUAUGUUUUUGUUUUUGUUGUUGUUGUUCAAGAAAUUGAACUGACAAUUUUACUGAAUGAGAGGAUGCUUUAACAUGGCGAAGCGUGAGUCGCAUAUUUUUCACUUUUUAAACAAUUCUCAAGACCAGUUACUUAUUGAACUUAUUGGAAAACCCGUUAGUUGUAACUGUCUUCUGUCCCUCUGACAUAAUGGCUUUGACCAAUCCUGUGUUUCUGAAGAAAAUGGUACACAUUGCUCUUUUCAUUGCUCGUUAUCUUUUCCUUAUUUUCGAUUUGGGGUCAUCAGCAAAGACCCUUGCUUUACUUUCUUGGCAUAGUGGAAUGUCAAAACGGUACAUAUGUUUCAUCAGCUGUUAUAAUUUUAAAAAUUAUGCAAUGUCCACCACUAUUAAGUAGUUUUAGAAUUUCGUUACAAAUCCUGAUGCGGUCCGCUGUUUGGUGUUCUGUUAAUUUAUGGAGGACCCAACGAAAAGCUAACUUUUUGCAUAUGUAGGUUCUGAUGAAUAAUUUUAUGUACAGCGGCGUAUCCAGUGUUACGUAUUUCCUGUAUCAUUUGAUAAGUCCAUCGAUUGCCAUUUUACGUUUGGCAGACAUAUUUUCUGGGACUACAGCGUAUUUCUAUGUGAUCCCACGAAAGAUAAAUUUCAACUGUUGCCAUAAAUCAUCGUCUACGGACACAAUGUUCAAAUUUACACUUCAGCGAAUAAAUUUUGCUUACCCGAUAUUAUCCACCUUUGUCUCAAAACUUUCAGAGUUGCCUACGUAUACCUUGAUACCGCCAUGUACAUUUUUGGGGGUUCAUCUUCAAUAUGAACAAGUUGCAAAAAUUUUGUAAAAACCUAUAGAAUGCUUUAAUAUUCAAACUACAUUCAACACAUUUGCGGCUUACAUAUUGCUAAUUUCUUCACAGUAGCAAAUUAUAGCAUCUCCUCAGACUAUCAAAAAAAAAAAGGUACGAAGGAAAUCAUACAUGCAUGAAACAGUAUCUUACAUUUCUCAGUUUUCGGCAAAAUAAAUUAUUCUUAGUAUUAUUAAAAGCUGUUCUCAGAAAGAUUUCAAGCUACUUCAAGGAAUAAUGUUAGUUUAGUUUGAAUAAAUCUGGAAGUAUGAACUCGUGACGCAUAACCAAAGAGUCAGCAGAAAAUGUAAUGUAAGUUGUAAAUAUGUAACGCAGUCAAAUAGAUAAAAAGUGUGCUUUUCAAGAUACAUUAAUGUAUUUCCACUCUAUCAAUAUGUAGUGAAACAAUAAUCAGUUUCUUUUUGUGUGAUACUUACUUUUACAUUCUUUUUCAUGUGCUCCACAAGUACAGUUUUAUUUACUAGAAAUUUAAUAACAAACUGCAUUUACUUCAAACAAAUAUUUGCAUUUAGAAAAUUACACCUAAAAGUGUUAGUUACAGUUCCAUUCCAAUUUGAAAUACGAAAGAAUAUUAAUUUACGAAAAAUGAGAUCAGAAUAUUUUGUAUUAAUACUUUUAUAAGUAAUAAAACUUUUUAAGAAUACGUAAUUAACGUAAUUUACUGGUUUAAAACUUAUUAGUUGCUACUCUAAAAAUACUUUCGCCUUAUUAUUUGUUGCAAAAUUACAAAUAAAGGAAUUAGUAAAUCGUAAAAGAAUAUCAUUGAAUGGCAUUUAAGGCGAAAAAUACAACUUGGUAUUCUUCUUAUUUUAUUAUUAACUUACUUCUCAAUGCAAAUUCAAAAUGAAGUCGAAAAUCACAAAUUUGAAAUUAAAUAUCUCAGUCAACUUUUUUCGCAUAGCGGUCAAACAUUUUGCGUUUUAUUUUUUAUAGCGAGAACAGAAUUUCACGAAAUAUAACUACAGGAAACGUAAGAACAUAUAAAAAGAUAGAUUUUGCAGUUUUUACAAAAUUUACUUUUUGCUACAUUUAUAAAUGCCCAAACGAGAACAUUUGUGCCAUUUAAAACAUUUUUGAAAUUAGAUGUAUGUUUUCAAAGUGCAUGUCUCGGUUACGGUUUGCUGUGGGCGAAGUGUACACUCUAAAUGACAGAUCUAUUCAGUAAUGCAUUUUACUGAGUCUGAAGUCACAUUUUAAAGCAUCUGAGCAUUGGUGUAAACUGCCGUUGUAAAAAUCUUCUUUUAUAACGAUUUAUCCGACCAACGGUAGGGACGGGUAAGGACUGUUCCACGCACCGUGCAUGUGUACGUACCAUAUACAUGGAGAUCGAAAAUUUUACUUAUCAAAUUUACAAAAAUUGGGAAAAUUCUGAAAUAUACAUUAUCGUUCUUACAGAAAAGCUGUUCGAAGCAUUUCCAUAUUUGCAGUUCGAGUGUAAUCCUUGGGAAAGUUCUUCCAAAUUUACUACAUCAACGAAUAACUAAAUAUUCCCCUCCAUAGUCUAAAUUUAUUUUUAUGUAAAAUUCGAAAUUAAAAUUAUUUUAGUUAGGUUGCUUUAUAAGAGUUCCACAGAAUAGAAGAUUUUAAUUCAUUUUUGUUUAAAUAAAUCAGAGUAAAAGGCAGACAAAAUGUUCUCAAGAACUGCGUUUAUUGCUUUUAACUUACUUAGUGAUUUUAAUGCGGAAAUACGGAUUAAACGUGAAAGUUUUACUGAAUAGCCACAUGCUGGGACACGGAAUAUAAAAACGUUUUAUUUAAGGGCAGUGGCAAUAAAUUGCUUUGAAACAGCCUAGUUUGUUAAUUAAAACCGAAAGUUAAAUAAAUUAAAGUUAAAUACCUUACGUUUUACCAAAUGACAACAAUCUGGCGCACUGGAAAUAAAAAUGCUUUUUCUCGAACAGUGGCAACACUGCUCGCUUUGAAAUCAUUGAAUUUUCAAAAUCUCAUUAAAAUCAUGCAAAAUAUGAAGUAAAUCAAAAACAACUUCGGAAUUCAAAAUUCUUGCAUCGGGUUGCACAUCUUCGUGAGGAGGAUUACGCGUGUUUAAAAUCUGGCAGUUCUAGGUGCCGUUAUUCCGCAAUGAGAAGAAUACAGGUACUGCGUGCACACAUACAGGCUCUUCAUUAUUCAUUAAUAGGGUUUGUGCCUUAUUUAUGAAAAGCGUCUAAAUUAUGAACGUCUUUCUAUAAUUUAAUUAAACAGAAAACAUAAUUGAAUUUUCUUGUACACAAAGAAUAUUAGCUUUUAUAAGGUCAUUAAUGCUGUACAUCUAAUUUUUCGUAAUCAAUUAUUUUCUUGUUUAUACUCUGUUGUAUGAAAAGUAAUAAUGACAAUUAUUAACCUACCUUUAUUUUAUUUAUCAGAAAGAAUCAUCAAACCCAAUUAUAUUGUAUUGUUAUUUCAAUGAAACAGACCUGCAAUUUUUCUUUCCUAAAAAAAUAAAAUAUCGUACACUUAUUUUCUUUUCUUUGAACCUGUCAAUUAAUUGGAGAGAAAACAUUUACCUAAUUGAUAUUAAAUUGCAGCUAAUGGUCGUAUCUCAAAAAAGAAGAGAACAAAAAAAUUUUUUACGAUCUGAAAUAAUCUUUACCAAUUUAAUAUCACAAAAGAUUUAAAUAUAAUCAGUUUAUUUUAUUUUUAUUAUAAUAAAUCUUCGCUGAGUCAAAGGAAAUGAAUUCUUUUAGAAAUAAAUGUGUCUGUCUCCAUAUAAUGAAAUUACGUUUAAAGAUAUCAACACGAUUAGUUUGUUUAGAAAAUUCUUUUCAAAUGAGUAUUUCAAAUUAACAUUUUUUAUCCAUAAGAAAUUUAUGGUAUUUUAUACUUUUAAUUCCGCUAUUAACUAUGUAAAGUGACUCAUCUUUGUUUUCGGGCAAUUGUAAUUUUGAAAUUUACUGGCAUAGAUGUUGUACUAAGUAUUGAAACAGACCGCACAUAUUUUCUUAAUAUAUUAUUUUUCCUCUAUAUUAAGACUGUUUGUUACAAAAUAAGUAUCAUCAAAAUAUUCUUUGCAAUAAAAUAAUUUAUUCCAGAAGUGUUAUCUCGAUGAAGUGUUAAUCGAUGACUUACAAAUUGAUUCGAACAUUCGAAAGUUUCGUUGUGAUGUUUUAGGAAGCAAUGUUUCUUGCAAUAUUUUUUUUAAUUUUAAAUAAAAAUGCAUCACAAGAAUUAUCGUCUAAGUUUUUAAAUUGUUACUGGUUCAGCAAAAUAUUUUAACAGCUCCGUAUCUCAAGUAAACAUAGCAAGACACUGAAAAUUAAUAGCAAGUUCUGUUCGAAAUUUAAUUAUUCACGAUUUUAAAGAUGAUAAAAGCAUUCAAAUCAAAAAACUUUUGAUAGAGUUCAACUUUCUUCACUACAUUAAAACGAUCGAAAUAGUUUGGAAUUAUUCAAAUUGCACUGAAGACUGCCCUACAUUUCCAGAUAAGGAAUCACAGAUUUAUCCUAUGAAAAAUCAAAUAAAACCCAAAAAAUAUUACUGUAAAACUUCCAGUAUAGAAGAAUGGCUUAGAAUGAAAGUUAAUUCUGGAACUGUUAAAAUAGUCAUUAGAACAUUUGGAUACAAUGGGCGAUCAGCAAGAAAAAAUGUUUCGUCAACAAAAAGCAUAGAAAAUAAUGAAACUAAGCCUGGCGUGGGAAGGCAAAGAUUUAUCAGACUGAAAUAAUGUUAUGUUUGCGGGCGAGUCGAAAUUUAAUAUAUUUGUAUCCUAUCUACGAAUUGCUGCAAGGCGAAAAUCAAAUGAAGAAUUGAAUCCGAAAACCUUUUGCUUUCUGUUAAGCCUGAAGGAGGAAACAUAAAAUUUUGGGUAUGCUUCGCUGCCUCUGGGAUGGGAAAGUUACUUUUUAUAGAAAAUAAUAAGGAUCAAUAUAAAUAUAUAGUAAAUAUUCUUAAUGAAAAACGUGGGCACGUUUGCAAGAGAACUUAACAAACAAAAUAUAUUCCAGUUCUAUCACAAUAACGAUCCUUAAUAUACUGCGCUAAAGUUCGUUUGUGGUUAUUAUACAAUCGUCCUGAAGUUAUUAUCAAAACUCCUCCAUAUAUUCUCCAAACUCCUCCUCAGAUCUAUCUCCUGUGCAACUUGUAUGAAAUGAGCUGGUCAAAAGAAUAGAAAACCUGAUACCUCUGCUAAAAGCAGCUCUCAUGUAAAAGUAAAACUUUGUUACACAUACACACACACACACACACACACAAAAAAAAAAAAAAAAAAUCUUCAGUGACAAGGGGUAAACCGGCAGCCAAGGUCAGUAAUAAGGCGUCACUGUAUGCAACCACACGUUAUAAGUUUUUACAAAACUACCGCAGAUUUCACCGAAAUAAACUACAAUAACUCACAUUUAUUUUCGGGCACAUGUAUUUUUGAAAUUUUUUUCCAUAGAUCUUGUACUAAAUAUUGAAACUUAAGCUUCAAAUGUUUUUCUAAUAUACUAUAGUUUUUCUAGUUUAAGCCCUGCUUGUUGUAAAGUAAAUAUCAUCAAAAUAUUCAUAGUAAUGAAAUAUUUUUUUAAAAAAGUCAAUAACUCACACAAUAAUUCGGACAACUCAAAUGUGUGUUGAAAUGUUUAGCUACUCAGUGUUUCUUGUUAUAAUAUCUUGUUCUAAAUGAAAAUACAUCGAAAGAACUAUCGUAUACAUUUAUAAAUUAUAUAAAGUAUAUUAAAAUUUCAUAUCUGAAAUGAAUAUCUCAAGCCACCACAAGUUAAGAAAAAUUCUGUUAGAAAUUUAAUAAUUUAUUUUUGAAAGCUACUGAAGUAUUAUGAUAUCCAAAUUUCCAAAACACUUUUCAUGUAAAACGUAACUUUUCAUGUAAACAUGUAAGUUUUUUCAUAUUGGAACACUGUUGUAUUUGCAGAAAUAUAUUUAGAUUUAUAUUUAUUAAGUUUAAUAUAUUUGGGUCUAAAGACGAAUUAUUAAGUGGCAAAAGCCGAAUUAAGAAUUGAACUCGAAAAGUCUUUUGACUAAUGUUAUGUGCGGUUUUGAGAUGUUUUGAUGCCUUUAAAAUAAGAAAUUUAAUUUUUAUAGAAAUAAAUAUAAAUUGGUAUAAAUAUGUUAAAUAUUCCUAAUGAAAAUUUGAAAGCAUGUGCAAGAAAAUUUGGAAUGCAGAAUGCAUUCAAGUUCUAUCAGAAUAACGAUCAUGAACAUGCAGCCUUAAGUGUUUGCUAGGGGAUAUUAUAUAACGUUUCUUGAUAUUAUCAUAUCUCAUCCAUAUUAUUCAGAUUUUUUCUAUAGAAUAUGCAUGGAAUCAGUUGGAAAAAAAAAUAGGUAAGCACGACAUUUCAUUGAAAGCUCUGUUGAAGGCAAUUUUUAAGGAGAACUGAAAAAACUUGAAACCUUUUUACUCGGAAAAAUUAGUUAAAUCCUUGCCAAAUCACAAGAAGAACCACCAUUUUAGCUAAAAUGUAUCUAAUGAAGUAUUAGAUGUUCCAUUACUUUCAUGUUUCUGUUAAAUAUAAACUGUUUAUUCAAAGUGCCCGAAUACUUAUGUGAGUUCAUUUCAAAACUUCUUCAAUAAAAUGUUUUCUUUCUUCUUUUUUUUUUUUUUUUUUUUUUCAAAAACGUGUCGAAUAAUGUUUUCGAAAAGAAGCAGGUUUUAAAAAGGUGAUCACUAGUAUACCUCAAAAGAAAAGUCAUUUUGCUAACAUUUAGUAAGUCAUUUAUAAAAAUAAAACUGAAGAGCACAAGUGUCCGAAAACAAUAGCUGAAUUUCUCGGCUCCUGGGAAUUUUCAGCAUUUCUACACAAAUUUGAAGAAAUAAUGACUUUUUUUUUUGUGUGUGUUCUCAAUUCUGGUUAAUCUAUGAUUUGUGAUAAGUAAAUGUAUACUAAUUUGUAUUAGUAUUGUUAAUUAUUUAUUGAAAUAUAAAAAUGUAUUGUAUUUCAUCAUUGUUAUUUUUAGAAGUUUUCGUUAUUUAUUAUUGUUAAAGGUACUUGUACAAUUACAGUACUUUUCUGUUAAAUGUUGUAUCAUGAUAUUGCUUUUGUUAAAAAUAAAAUGCUUUUGAUUUAAAUAAGCUUCAAGUAAUUAAAAAUUAUGAAUUAAUAGGUAAAAAUAAUAAAUAUACCUAUUUACAAAUACCCUAUUUCCUCGCGUAUUUCCCUCCUUUUUUUACUUACUUAAUCGUCUGAAAAUCGAGAGGGAAAAGUUAUACGAAUAAUUUAAUUUUCGAAGGAAGCGGUUGCAGUAAGAACAUAGCAAAUUAAAAGCAGUCGUGGAUAAACUACCGGUUAACUCUCACAGUAUCAUUUCUUUAAAAUAAACCUACAUUCCGAUAACAUACGUAAUUAUAAAAUUAAUAUUACAGUAUCUAAUAAGCUAUCUUCAUUGAAUCUCGCAUCUUCUCAUUGUUGUAUAUACUACACCUUAGGCCUCGAAACAUCUAUAAAUAAUGACAGAAGGGGAAUGCGUAGCCGACUCCGCGAAUGUGUACACUUAAUGUCAAGUCGUGUUGGCUUCCGUGUGAUGAAUCAGCUCUUGUAUUAGACUAGUUAAAGUUCAACAGUUAGAAGAGAGAGUUUAGGCGUGACCUAUGCAGGUAAUAUGCGAGGAUUUGACAUUGUUAGUAAGACGAAAGCAGCCAUUAUUUGUAAUUUAAAAAUUCCAUUUUAAAAUUAAGGAAAACUUUUCUUCCAAACACACUGAGGAAGAGGAAUGUGGAACUAAUGUUUGAGAAUAUUUCUUUAAAAUGCUAAGGGGGGGGAAAUGCGAGAAAAUGCGAUAUCCGUGAAAUUCGUUAUAUAUAAUCUUUAUACAUUUGAAUGCUCGCUUGUGUAAAAUGCAUUUAAGUCUGUAGCAAAUUCGACGGUACUGAAAUGUUAGUUUGUUGUACGCAGACGGGGAGGCGUUGUGAAGGGGUUCGUCUGUAUUCGCAUUCCGAAUAGCGUAAAUAAAAGAAAAAAAUAUUCGCAAUAACGCAUGUAAAUUUUGAUAAAAAGUGAUAUGCUUUACAUUAACUAGAAUUUUUAUUAUUUGACGAUUUCCUUAACUGCAAAAUAAAAGGAAAUUAUAACGUUUUCUACUUGACAACUGAUAACAUGUCAUGUGGUGUUUGCAAGUUUAUAUCCAUUAAUUACUGUCAAAUGAUUAUGUUCAGUUAUCUACUACAUUCUGUUAUUGUACGUUAAUGUAUUUUAUUUUACUGUUUUAUCUGUGUUGCAUAUUUGUAUGCACCGUUGUUGAUUUUGUACAUAGAGUCUAAGGCUUUUUUUGAAAAAUGUUGAUGAAUAAAUAAUGACUAGUCACAGUUCUGCAUUGAAAAUAAACGUGAAUUCAUUUUCG
Stegodyphus dumicola is the source of this 9616-nucleotide long non-coding RNA. NCBI's taxonomy places the organism in Eukaryota, Metazoa, Arthropoda, Arachnida, Araneae, Eresidae. The record is from RefSeq and is a predicted model, not a curated record.